Molecule: ribosomal RNA, 594 nt
Filed under: uncultured bacterium
Lineage: Bacteria
Description: bacterial SSU rRNA
Rfam family: Bacterial small subunit ribosomal RNA
Source: RNAcentral
AGUUGGUGGUGUAAUAGACUACCAAGGCGAUGACGGGUAGGGGGUGUGAGAGCAUGGCCCCCAGCAUUGGCACUGAGACACUGGCCAAACACCUACGGGUGGCUGCAGUCGAGAAUAUUCCACAAUGGACGAAAGUCUGAUGGAGCGACACCGCGUGCGAGAUGAAGGCCUUAGGGUCGUAAAUCGCUUUUAUUAGGGAUCAAUGUACUGAGCGUACCUAAUGAAUAAGAGGUUACUAACUCUGUGCCAGCAGUAGCGGUAAUACAGAGACCUCAAGCGUUAUCCGGAUUUAUUGGGCGUAAAGCGUAUGUAGGCGGAUGUGUUAGUCGUGUGUCAAAUCUUCGGGCUCAACCCGGAAACUGCUCACGAAACGGCAUGUCUUGAGAAAGUGAGAGAUGACUGGAACUCACGGUGUAGUAGUAAAAUGCUUUGAUAUCAUGGGGAACACCAAAGGCGAAGGCAGGUCAUUGGCACUUUUCUGACGCUGAGAUACGAAAGCGUGGGGAGCGAAUGGGAUUAGAUACCCCAGUAGUCCACGCCGUAAACGAUGCAUACUCGGCAUAUGGAGUAUCGACCCUCUGUGUGUCUUAGCUA